GUCGUGUUCGUCUAGGCGGCCGAGGACACCGGGCUUUCAUUCCGGGAACGCGGGUUCGAAUCCCGCACGCGACACCA
RNAcentral lists this transfer RNA (77 nucleotides) under Piscinibacter sp. RNAcentral describes it as "tRNA-Glu". It matches the Rfam family "tRNA". Rfam says of the family: Transfer RNA (tRNA) molecules are approximately 80 nucleotides in length. RNAcentral also lists the same sequence under 1 other name. The record is from RNAcentral. Lineage: Bacteria; Pseudomonadati; Pseudomonadota; Betaproteobacteria; Burkholderiales; Sphaerotilaceae.